AAAGCUCUUUCGCAAGGGAAGAAAACUUAGCCGUUAAUACCGGCUGAGGCUGACGGUACCUUGAUAAGAAGCACCGGCUAACUACGUGCCAGCAGCCGCGGUAAUACGUAGGGUGCGAGCGUUAAUCGGAAUUACUGGGCGUAAAGCGUGCGCAGGCGGUCUUGCAAGUCAGAUGUGAAAUCCCCGGGCUCAACCUGGGAACUGCGUUUGAAACUACAAGGCUAG
Molecule: ribosomal RNA, 225 nt
Filed under: uncultured beta proteobacterium
Lineage: Bacteria; Pseudomonadati; Pseudomonadota; Betaproteobacteria
Description: partial 16S ribosomal RNA
Rfam family: Bacterial small subunit ribosomal RNA
Source: RNAcentral